GCUUCCCGCUGACGAGCGGCGGACGGGUGAGUAAUGCUUAGGAAUCUGCCCAGUAGUGGGGGAUAGCCCGGGGAAACCCGGAUUAAUACCGCAUACGUCCUACGGGAGAAAGCAGGGGAUCUUCGGACCUUGCGCUAUUGGAUGAGCCUAAGUCGGAUUAGCUAGUUGGUGGGGUAAAGGCCUACCAAGGCGACGAUCCGUAGCUGGUCUGAGAGGAUGAUCAGCCACAUCGGGACUGAGACACGGCCCGAACUCCUACGGGAGGCAGCAGUGGGGAAUAUUGGACAAUGGGGGCAACCCUGAUCCAGCCAUGCCGCGUGUGUGAAGAAGGCUUUCGGGUUGUAAAGCACUUUCAGUAGGGAGGAAAACCUUAUGGUUAAUACCCAUGAGGCUUGACGUUACCUACAGAAGAAGCACCGGCUAACUCCGUGCCAGCAGCCGCGGUAAUACGGAGGGUGCAAGCGUUAAUCGGAAUUACUGGGCGUAAAGCGCGCGUAGGUGGUUUGGUAAGCGAGAUGUGAAAGCCCCGGGCUUAACCUGGGAACGGCAUUUCGAACUGUCAGACUAGAGUGUGGUAGAGGGUAGUGGAAUUUCCUGUG
This 599-nucleotide ribosomal RNA is filed under the name Marinobacter nauticus. Its description in RNAcentral is "bacterial SSU rRNA". It matches the Rfam family "Bacterial small subunit ribosomal RNA", at positions 79 to 675 of the family's 1533-position model. The record is from RNAcentral. Lineage: Bacteria; Pseudomonadati; Pseudomonadota; Gammaproteobacteria; Pseudomonadales; Marinobacteraceae.